GGGGUGACUGCGUACCUUUUGUAUAAUGGGUCAGCGACUUAUAUUCUGUAGCAAGGUUAACCGAAUAGGGGAGCCGAAGGGAAACCGAGUCUUAACUGGGCGUUAAGUUGCAGGGUAUAGACCCGAAACCCGGUGAUCUAGCCAUGGGCAGGUUGAAGGUUGGGUAACACUAACUGGAGGACCGAACCGACUAAUGUUGAAAAAUUAGCGGAUGACUUGUGGCUGGGGGUGAAAGGCCAAUCAAACCGGGAGAUAGCUGGUUCUCCCCGAAAGCUAUUUAGGUAGCGCCUCGUGAAUUCAUCUCCGGGGGUAGAGCACUGUUUCGGCAAGGGGGUCAUCCCGACUUACCAACCCGAUGCAAACUGCGAAUACCGGAGAAUGUUAUCACGGGAGACACACGGCGGGUGCUAACGUCCGUCGUGAAGAGGGAAACAACCCAGACCGCCAGCUAAGGUCCCAAAGUCAUGGUUAAGUGGGAAACGAUGUGGGAAGGCCCAGACAGCCAGGAUGUUGGCUUAGAAGCAGCCAUCAUUUAAAGAAAGCGUAAUAGCUCACUGGUCGAGUCGGCCUGCGCGGAAGAUGUAACGGGGCUAAACCAUGCACCGAAGCUGCGGCAGCGACACUAUGUGUUGUUGGGUAGGGGAGCGUUCUGUAAGCCUGUGAAGGUGUGCUGUGAGGCAUGCUGGAGGUAUCAGAAGUGCGAAUGCUGACAUAAGUAACGAUAAAGCGGGUGAAAAGCCCGCUCGCCGGAAGACCAAGGGUUCCUGUCCAACGUUAAUCGGGGCAGGGUGAGUCGACCCCUAAGGCGAGGCCGAAAGGCGUAGUCGAUGGGAAACAGGUUAAUAUUCCUGUACUUGGUGUUACUGCGAAGGGGGGACGGAGAAGGCUAUGUUGGCCGGGCGACGGUUGUCCCGGUUUAAGCGUGUAGGCUGGUUUUCCAGGCAAAUCCGGAAAACCAAGGCUGAGGCGUGAUGACGAGGCACUACGGUGCUGAAGCGACAAAUGCCCUGCUUCCAGGAAAAGCCUCUAAGCAUCAGGUAACAUUAAAUCGUACCCCAAACCGACACAGGUGGUCAGGUAGAGAAUACCAAGGCGCUUGAGAGAACUCGGGUGAAGGAACUAGGCAAAAUGGUGCCGUAACUUCGGGAGAAGGCACGCUGAUAUGUAGGUGAAGCGACUUGCUCGUGGAGCUGAAAUCAGUCGAAGAUACCAGCUGGCUGCAACUGUUUAUUAAAAACACAGCACUGUGCAAACACGAAAGUGGACGUAUACGGUGUGACGCCUGCCCGGUGCCGGAAGGUUAAUUGAUGGGGUUAGCGGUAACGCGAAGCUCUUGAUCGAAGCCCCGGUAAACGGCGGCCGUAACUAUAACGGUCCUAAGGUAGCGAAAUUCCUUGUCGGGUAAGUUCCGACCUGCACGAAUGGCGUAAUGAUGGCCAGGCUGUCUCCACCCGAGACUCAGUGAAAUUGAACUCGCUGUGAAGAUGCAGUGUACCCGCGGCAAGACGGAAAGACCCCGUGAACCUUUACUAUAGCUUGACACUGAACAUUGAGCCUUGAUGUGUAGGAUAGGUGGGAGGCUUUGAAGUGUGGACGCCAGUCUGCAUGGAGCCGACCUUGAAAUACCACCCUUUAAUGUUUGAUGUUCUAACGUUGGCCCGUAAUCCGGGUUGCGGACAGUGUCUGGUGGGUAGUUUGACUGGGGCGGUCUCCUCCUAAAGAGUAACGGAGGAGCACGAAGGUUGGCUAAUCCUGGUCGGACAUCAGGAGGUUAGUGCAAUGGCAUAAGCCAGCUUGACUGCGAGCGUGACGGCGCGAGCAGGUGCGAAAGCAGGUCAUAGUGAUCCGGUGGUUCUGAAUGGAAGGGCCAUCGCUCAACGGAUAAAAGGUACUCCGGGGAUAACAGGCUGAUACCGCCCAAGAGUUCAUAUCGACGGCGGUGUUUGGCACCUCGAUGUCGGCUCAUCACAUCCUGGGGCUGAAGUAGGUCCCAAGGGUAUGGCUGUUCGCCAUUUAAAGUGGUACGCGAGCUGGGUUUAGAACGUCGUGAGACAGUUCGGUCCCUAUCUGCCGUGGGCGCUGGAGAACUGAGGGGGGCUGCUCCUAGUACGAGAGGACCGGAGUGGACGCAUCACUGGUGUUCGGGUUGUCAUGCCAAUGGCACUGCCCGGUAGCUAAAUGCGGAAGAGAUAAGUGCUGAAAGCAUCUAAGCACGAAACUUGCCCCGAGAUGAGUUCUCCCUGACUCCUUGAGGGUCCUGAAGGAACGUUGAAGACGACGACGUUGAUAGGCCGGGUGUGUAAGCGCAGCGAUGCGUUGAGCUAACCGGUACUAAUGAACCGUGAGGCUUAACCUUACAACGCCGAAG
This 2368-nucleotide ribosomal RNA is filed under the name Escherichia coli. RNAcentral describes it as "partial 23S ribosomal RNA". It matches the Rfam family "Bacterial large subunit ribosomal RNA", at positions 590 to 2925 of the family's 2925-position model. The record is from RNAcentral. Lineage: Bacteria; Pseudomonadati; Pseudomonadota; Gammaproteobacteria; Enterobacterales; Enterobacteriaceae.